GCAGCGGUAGUUCAGUUGGUUAGAAUACCGGCCUGUCACGCCGGGGGUCGCGGUGUCUCUUAUAACCCUCUGACGCUGCC
Molecule: transfer RNA, 80 nt
Filed under: Acinetobacter baumannii
Lineage: Bacteria; Pseudomonadati; Pseudomonadota; Gammaproteobacteria; Moraxellales; Moraxellaceae
Description: tRNA-Asp
Rfam family: tRNA (bases 1-55)
About the family: Transfer RNA (tRNA) molecules are approximately 80 nucleotides in length. Their secondary structure includes four short double-helical elements and three loops (D, anti-codon, and T loops). Further hydrogen bonds mediate the characteristic L-shaped molecular structure. tRNAs have two regions of fundamental functional importance: the anti-codon, which is responsible for specific mRNA codon recognition, and the 3' end, to which the tRNAs corresponding amino acid is attached (by aminoacyl-tRNA synthetases). tRNAs cope with the degeneracy of the genetic code in two manners: having more than one tRNA (with a specific anti-codon) for a particular amino acid; and 'wobble' base-pairing, i.e. permitting non-standard base-pairing at the 3rd anti-codon position.
Source: RNAcentral